GCCGGGAUGGUGGAAUAGGUAGACACGCAAGACUUAAAAUCUUGUGGCCUUUAGGCCGUGCGGGUUCGAUUCCCGCUCCUGGUA
RNAcentral lists this transfer RNA (84 nucleotides) under Algoriphagus zhangzhouensis. Its description in RNAcentral is "Algoriphagus sp. 12C11 tRNA". It matches the Rfam family "tRNA". Rfam says of the family: Transfer RNA (tRNA) molecules are approximately 80 nucleotides in length. Their secondary structure includes four short double-helical elements and three loops (D, anti-codon, and T loops). RNAcentral also lists the same sequence under 7 other names. The record is from Rfam by way of RNAcentral. Lineage: Bacteria; Pseudomonadati; Bacteroidota; Cytophagia; Cytophagales; Cyclobacteriaceae.